Molecule: microRNA, 21 nt
Filed under: Ciona intestinalis (vase tunicate)
Lineage: Eukaryota; Metazoa; Chordata; Ascidiacea; Phlebobranchia; Cionidae
Description: cin-let-7a-1-3p
Gene: cin-let-7a-1-3p
Source: miRBase by way of RNAcentral
UGUGUAACCUUCUGCCUUUGU